GAGGUAUCUUCAUGAUUCUGCCCAGUGAUUUUUUUUUAAAUGGCCGCAGUACCUUGACUGUGCUAAGGUAGCAUAAUCAAUUGGCUUCUAAUUAAAGUCUGGAAUGAAAGGAAAUAUGAAGUAAUUCUAUCUUAAAGGAUUUUUUUUGAAUUUAUUUAAAUGAUGAAAAUAUCAUUUUAUAGAAAAAAGACGAGAAGACCCUUAGAGUUUUGAUAUUUAUAUAUUUUUGUUGGGGCGACAGGUAAACAUAUAACUUUACGAAUUAUCAUUGAUCGAUUUUUUAUAAGAAUAAUAAAACUACCUUAGGGAUAACAGCAUUAUAUUUUUUUUUAUGAUUGUGACCUCGAUGUUGGACUAGGAACUUUAUGGCUAGCCGUCAAAAAAGAUUUGUUCUGUUCGAACAAUUUUAUCCUACGUGAUCUG
Molecule: ribosomal RNA, 423 nt
Filed under: Biomphalaria straminea
Lineage: Eukaryota; Metazoa; Mollusca; Gastropoda; Planorbidae
Description: partial 16S ribosomal RNA
Rfam family: Bacterial large subunit ribosomal RNA
Source: RNAcentral